RNAcentral lists this transfer-messenger RNA (406 nucleotides) under Bacteroidaceae. RNAcentral describes it as "UBA4372 sp945787235 Standard tmRNA". It matches the Rfam family "transfer-messenger RNA". From Rfam's summary of the family: Bacterial tmRNA, also known as 10Sa RNA or SsrA, is named for its dual tRNA and mRNA-like properties. Its role is to liberate the mRNA from a stalled ribosome. To accomplish this part of the tmRNA is used as a reading frame that ends in a translation stop signal. The record is from RNAcentral. RNAcentral also lists the same sequence under 1 other name. Lineage: Bacteria; Pseudomonadati; Bacteroidota; Bacteroidia; Bacteroidales.
GGGGCUGACAUGGAUUUGACAGCGGGAUGAAGCGUUGUGUAAGCACGCAGAGAGUCGUAGGUCGCUCUCUAUAAUCAAUGGCUUUCAAAGAUUUAUCUGGCGAAAACAAGUACGCUCUCGCUGCCUGAUCGAAGCAUAGUAGAUCACUGGCUUUAUCCCGGCACUAGGUGCUGAGACGAGAUGUCACUCUGAGGCUCACCGCCCCGAAGCUCUCAGGUUCAGUGGCACAGCAAAUCGGGGAUAGUCACCGGGACGCCUCUAUCCGAUGAUGAAGUUCACAGAGGCUAAGGUUGUGAUAGGUGGUCCAGGUCUUGUCACUUCCCUACAACCCAAGGCUGGAAUAAGCGUGUAGAAAGCACAGGGUUUCCCUGUUUGGACGAGGGUUCAAUCCCCUCCAGCUCCACCA